Non-coding RNA from Paralichthys olivaceus (Japanese flounder), 491 nucleotides. The record is from RefSeq and is a predicted model, not a curated record. NCBI's taxonomy places the organism in Eukaryota, Metazoa, Chordata, Actinopteri, Pleuronectiformes, Paralichthyidae.
AGGAGCAAAGUAUUUCUGUCAAACACCCGUUAUUCACCAUAUCAGCACGUUGAAGACAAGACCGCUAAAGACCAAUGGAAAUCUGACCCAAGACACCAAAGAGCACCACUGUUUGAAGGAGGUGGAGAAAGGAAGAAUCAAUACUUUCAGUGAGAGAAAAUGGUCAAACCACUGAUUGGCAGAGAGUCCUUUUGUUACUGAUCUGUUUCUGUGAAUCACAAGUUGAUAUUUCUGAGAAGUUCCAUGUAAGCAGUAAAAAGUUGGGAAAGUGAGCCACCGUGUGCUCGUCUUUAGAAGAGUCACAGGAGAAGGAGGUGCACCUACCAGUCUACAUCCUGGAGAUGAUCCUGUCCGUAGAGGGCCACAAGAGUGUUCUUCAGAAACUGUAUUGGAUCACUGGGACAUGACAGACAUGAAGCUGUCAGCAGGGUCUGUUGUCGAGGAGGAAUAUGAUAAUAAAGAUAAUAACUUGUUGAUCAAGAAUGAUGAAG